GAGCGGACAUUAGCGUGGACUAUCAGAGGUUAGAAGCCUAUAAAAUACAUAAAAACAUAUAUUUAUCUAAUUAUUACAUAUACCUGUAAAACAACAGCUGCUGACUUUUAAUCAGUGGGUCACAGGUUCAAAUCCUGUACGGCUCACCA
Molecule: transfer RNA, 149 nt
Filed under: Paracoccaceae bacterium
Lineage: Bacteria; Pseudomonadati; Pseudomonadota; Alphaproteobacteria; Rhodobacterales; Paracoccaceae
Description: tRNA-Lys
Source: RNAcentral